This is a long non-coding RNA of Carassius carassius (crucian carp), 551 nucleotides long. RefSeq lists it as uncharacterized. The transcript has 4 exons. The record is from RefSeq and is a predicted model, not a curated record. Lineage: Eukaryota; Metazoa; Chordata; Actinopteri; Cypriniformes; Cyprinidae.
CUCCCCUCCUCUAGGGGGCGACGAAGCACUCUGAAAAUACAGGAAACUCAAAGCUAAGGAAGCUUAACCAAACAAACUGUUGCAACCAUCUAAAUAUCACUGGAAACCAAUGAAGUCUUGGAUCUGUGUGCUGGUACUGUAUUGUUCUGCAUGAACCUUGGGUUGGAGAGAUGCUCUAAUUUGUGAGGAAACAGUCCUGCUGCUUUGGCGUUGUUGCCUGGAUACCGCAUCCACCUGGAGCAGCAUAUGGCUGCAGCAUGUUGUGCUCCGUGAGAAAUAAGCGGAAUGCCAAAACAUCCCGGUGUGGUGAUGUAAUGCACCUUUCAAGAGUUUUGCAAGAUGACAGGUUCUCUAUAGACGGAGGGUCUCUGGGUCUGUAAAGGUCGAUAAACCCGGGAUACAAGAAUGGGUUUGGAUGGGUUUUGUCUCGAUCUGCCAGCUUCCUCCUCACCAUCGCACUGAGACAAAUCUGCUCUGAUGAUUAGUGCUCGUCUCACACAGGCUUCAUUAUCUGCCUCUGUGUUUCAGAUCACCACAGAAAUGACACACUG